This 334-nucleotide ribosomal RNA is filed under the name uncultured soil bacterium. RNAcentral's name for it is "bacterial SSU rRNA". It matches the Rfam family "Bacterial small subunit ribosomal RNA", at positions 26 to 352 of the family's 1533-position model. The record is from RNAcentral.
AGAGUGAACGCUGGCGGUAGGCCUAACACAUGCAAGUCGAACGGCAGCACAGUAGGAGCUUGCUCUUACGGGUGGCGAGUGGCGGACGGGUGAGGAAUACAUCGGAAUCUACCUUUUGGUGGGGGAUCACGUAGGGAAACUUACGCUAAUACCGCAUACGCCCUUCGGGGGAAAGCCGGGGACCAGCAAUGGCCUGGCGCUGAUAGAUGAGCCGAUGUCGGAUUAGCUAGUUGGUGAGGUAAUGGCUCACCGAAGGCGACGAUCCGUAGCUGGUCUGAGAGGAUGAUCAGCCACACUGGAACUGAGACACGGUCCAGACUCCGUAGGGAGCAGC